Molecule: long non-coding RNA, 542 nt
Filed under: Mus caroli (Ryukyu mouse)
Lineage: Eukaryota; Metazoa; Chordata; Mammalia; Rodentia; Muridae
Description: chimerin 1, opposite strand 3 (MGP_CAROLIEiJ_G0003208.1)
Source: RNAcentral
GUUUGGGAGAGUUCUGAAAAUUCUAACAAGCCUUCUUUGUUUAUCUUCUCUAGGCUUCCGCAGCCGGUCUGCAUGUAGUUGGGAUAAAUUCAGCCCAGGAGGAAAAUCAGCGCUGCCUCCCCCUCUCUCCUCCCAUUUUAGGUGAGAGGAGGAGGUGCCGUGGGGGUAGAGAAAGAUUUGGAGAGCUCGCCAGCUGGUCUAAAAGUUUCCCUUCUGCAUAUACCGAAUCAAUCCAUGGUUGGUAGGGCCAGAGCACUUGGACGCUCGAGUGUGUAUCUGAGUAAGGACUGCAUAGAUGCUACCUCAGGAGCAAGAGGGUAGGGUAGACCCGUAAAGACAGAGCUGGGGACCUAGCUAGAUCAUGCAGAUUGAAGUGUCCUGCAACCAGCUGUGCCAGCUGUGAGCUGUACAUGUCGAGAUGCUGAGACCAUCAGAGCGAUCGAGCUCAGCUGAUCGCAGAUGAGUUUUCUUGCUGUAUGCUAAAACUCUGGCUAUAGUGUUAGUUACUAUUACAAACUGUGGCCCUGGGUCUUUCCUGUAGG